This 4256-nucleotide long non-coding RNA is filed under the name Nicotiana tabacum (common tobacco). RNAcentral describes it as "long non-coding RNA (NTAB_LNC006567)". The record is from RNAcentral. Lineage: Eukaryota; Viridiplantae; Streptophyta; Magnoliopsida; Solanales; Solanaceae.
AAAUUAAAAUAUACACAACUAACUUUGUAAGAGACAUUAACAAUUUAUACAUAUUCACAAUCGUUGCCAACAAGGUCAUAACCAACCCUUACAUAAAUCCGAACACUAGUUUGCAAGCCUCUAUGAGUUCCAAAUAUAUUUAUAAACACAACUUGGUUAGCACAGGGCCCCACCAUACCCAUAAUGACUGGAACAUACACUUCAGUACCUAUUAACUUCUGAACAACUACUCCGAAGAAGUAGAGUGCGACAACCAACUACUGAAAUGAGCACCCUACCAGGAAGGGACAUCAUCGGGCCUAUCUGUACCUGUGGGCAUGAACACAGCUCCCAAAAGAAAGGAGCAUGAGUACAAAAGAAGUACCGAGUAUAUAAAGGUGAUAAUAUACAUGUAAAUUGAAGACAUAACAUAAGAAGUAUGAGUACACAACUUCAACCUGAAUAUCGAAGAAAGGCCUCCAGGGACGCACACUACGGAAACCAUGAAUCUCAAAUGUAUGCAAGUUUUGUAAAAAGUGAGGCCACUCCUUGUGGUUGUGCAUUAAAUAUUAUAGUAUUAUUUCAUCGCUCUUUGGGGCAUAUCAUAUCAUAUAUAAUACCUGGCCUCAAGAGAUCUCGGUUGUACCCAGUCUCAAUAGAACAUGGUGUACCCUGUCUCAAAAGGACUCGGUCGUACCUGACCACACAAGGGAUCAGUAAUAUCUCAUAUCACAUCACUCCGUACCUGACCUCAUAGAGGACUCGGUCGUACCCGGCCUCAACAAGACUCAGCGUAGUCGGCCUCAAGAGGACUCGAUAGCCUCAUAUCACAUGUCACGUUUCAUCAUACCCAACUGAUCAGGGGUUGUACAAUAGGCACCGUACCCCGGCCGAUAUAGCAUGACUCAGUAAAGUAAAAUAGAUACAUAUGUAUAUAAGUGCAAUGCAAGAGACAUUAAGAUUAAACUCAUAAUGAAUCAUAUUUUUCGACCUCCGGAUACUAUCUGGGAACAUCUCAAAUAGCAGGAGCAGUGGGCUUCAGACUUUUAGAUGCGCGGGUACAAGAUUUUGGCCUGAGUUUUUUUGAGUACUCAACAGGGCCAAUGGUUGUACAUGUUAAAAAAGAGAGAGAAGGUCAUUAGAUAUAAUACUAUAUGCAUACAAUCAUAUAUGAAAUAUAUAAGUAAAUGACUUGAAUAAAUAUCAACCAAUAGUCAUUUGAAUUAUGAAAGUUAUACUAAUGUGGGGUCACAUAUGGUAAACUGAUUCACAUUGAAAACCUUUCAAUGUCAUUAACCACUAAACCUAAAAGGAGUAAUGAAUGUCAAUGGAUUAGAGACUAAGGGUAGAGUUCCACUCAAGGUCAAGGCUCCCUGACACUUCAAAGUACCCAAGGGUCUCAAGGCCCAGGGCAGUGCUUGUGUCAAGGAGAGUAGCCCAACAAAGAGCUAAACUCUAUUCCCAAAUACCCCUAAUAACUCACACUCACUCUUCCCCACGUGUUUAAGUGCCAAUGAGUCACUUUCAAUGUAAAGACCAAUCACCACAAUAAUACCAUACCACAAAAGUAUACACCUUUCCAAUGAUGGUCAAAGCAGAACAUUAUAAGACUGCAAGAUAAUCUGUCUACAUUAUCAUAACCAUAUUUCAAAGCUAAAUGGAUAAUGCACUAUGAGUAACAUGUUAAGAAGGUUCAAAAUAAAUAAACUUCAAACAUACAUAGAGGCGGGGACAUCAUAUUACUGUUAAAGAAUCAAACACCUGAAAUCAUAUAUCUUAAGGACUAUAUAGUCCAAGUCUGCAACAGUCUAUGAAUACAUGUACAUUUUGUCUUAACAGCCUUCAUUUAUACUAACCAAUGAUUGAUUUUAACUUAAGUUUUGCCCUCUAGCAUAUACAAGUCAACAGUUCUAAAAAGUGUUAACAAAUAUGUGGACUAACAGUUUCAAGUAAACAUCUGAUGAGCAUUAGGUGAGUGCAAAUUAAAAGCUACAAUUAGAGCUUACAAAAGUAUUAACAGCAUUACAGGUUCAACACUACCGCUGGUAUUUCCUAAAGAGUGCUAAUACCGGCAUAGAUCAGCAACUUCAAUUAUAAAUACAUAUCUGUAGCCUCAAUUAAAAGGCACAUGCUGAUAACUUCAGAUAGAACAUUCAAAGAUUAUUGAAAAAGAUUCAGAACAACAAUUCACAGUUAGGGCUCUUACGGGUAUUACCAGAGAGGCCAGACUACAACCAGAGUUUCUAAAAGCACUAACAGGGUUACAGAUUCUCAACCUAAAAUAGAACUUCUAGGAAUAUUAACAGGAUUACAAUUUAGCAAGCUACAAUUAGUCUUGCUUAACUUUAAAAUCAAUGACAUAGUCACUUCUUCCUAAUUAACUCACACUAAUCUAUCUCAAUAAGAACAAAAUAUGUUGUUAUAUCUAAGCAGUAGCAAUAAGUAAUUCUCUUUAGAGUUCACAAGCUAAGUCUAAUCCAUUUAGGGGAGCUUAGUGAGGUUUCAAAGACAAUGCAGGCAUGUAUGUAGACAUGAAGGACAGACAGAGGCACUGAAGCACAAAAUGAGUGUAGGACUCUCAAGAGAUAGCAUUCAAGUACAUACAUGAGAUGUUCUAAUCAAGGUUAUAACAUUACAAACAGGUUUGGGUUUCAAAUAUCAUGAAGUCAAGUCAAUAAUAUCAUUAAAGGACUCAGAACAAUGGAGAAUUUAAAAUUAGUAGAUCUGGUUUAGCUGUACAGGUUAUUGGUGACGAUCUAGACAUGGUAAAGUUCUAUUCAGCCUACCAACAUAACAGUUAAUGCUCAAUCACAACAGAUGCAAUUAUAGCCCUACUCCUAUGUGAUAACAUGAGCUGAAUGAGUAGCAAUUGGUAGAACACAUACAAGAAUAGGUGCAGAAUUUCAUUAGAGUUUAGCCCAGUUGCCUUGUGGUGCUGUCUUAUGCAAUAAGACUUACAGAAGUGAUCAAUAGUUAUAGAAAUAUAAAUACCUUUACAAUAAUGUCUCAAAAACACUUUAGAAUCAGCAAACACCCAUAUGAAGAAAGAAGGCAACCUAAGGAAUUAAACUGACAUACUUCAACUAAAUGACAACCUUGGAAUUAAACCUUAAGUACUCAUAUAUGUUUCAAUUUAGCUUGCCAAGUAUACAACCUCAAGUACAGAGCAACAAACUACACCAAAACAAAAUUGAUGUGGUAGACAUGAAGGCCAUAGCAGAACAUCAAAGAAGUAUGAAGUCAGAAUAAGUAUGGGAAGUCAUAAGGCAUCUCUAGCUAAAUAUAGGAGCUUAAUCAUAUAGGUUUUUCAAUUCAGAACAAUGUUCAUCACUGUCACAUAAUAAACAUUUAAUACUAAUUUGACACACACAAUAUCAAAGCAUAAACUUUAAUCAUAAACCAAUAACAACUCACUAUGAGAAGGAACAAUCAAUCAUAAAUUGAUAACAAGCAUCAUAAACAGAGGCAAUCAAUAGAAAGAAACAGUGUGGUUACGAUUUAAAAUAAAAUAAUCAAAAGAGAAAAGGUCAAAGUACACUGCCCUCCUUUCAACCAGCAAACCAAACAAGGAUUUUUCUUAGCCGUACAUGAAAUAAAGAUUAAAACUUUGAACAGUGAAAAAACUCAGAACCAGAAAGAAGAACCAGAAAUCAGUAUGGAACCUAAAACUUUUGUAAAUGAAAUCUUAGUAUUGUCUGUUGUGUUCAUGUUAGGUGUUCUAGAUGAGAGCAUUGAAGGCUCUAUUUAUAGUGGCCAUUAAAGCUUAGGUUUUCUCAAAUUCAAACUCGGUAGUGGAAGAUGACGAAGGAUGGAUGAUGAUAGAAAAGAUGGUGAAAUCAGAGGAAAACAGAGGGAAAAUGAUGAAGUAGUUAUACCUGAGAUGGGGAAUCGACCAUUGAAGGCAGAGAAUCGUCGGACAUAACAUAAAACCCAGAGGUCACUACGGUUGACCUAUGGGUAAAGAUUCCUCAUAAUGAAUCUCUAAGGAUACUCCAUGUAUGCGCCGAUUUGACAGAGCAUAAGAGGAUUUAAGCGAUUUGAAGUUGCAUUCUUAAUCUAGGGUUCCAAAUUUUAGGUGUAUUUAAAUUAAGUGACGAAACGGGGAAGAAAUCAGCGGGGAUUAGCGGCUAGGGAUGAUUUGGUUGUUGAUUUGUUGACCUUGCACGGAUUUAUGCAAGGGUUUGUGACUGAUGGGGCGAGAGCAGGCACGGGAGUAGAGAGCAAAAGGGGAUGGGCGGCUUGAUCAAGGGAAGAAUGAAUUAGGGUUUUGGGGUUUC